GUAAGGAAUAUUGGGCAAUGGGCGCAAGCCUGACCCAGCCAUGCCGCGUGCAGGAUUGACGGCCCUAUGGGUUGUAAACUGCUUUUGUACGGGAAAAAACCCCUGGUCGCGUACCGGGGCUGAUGUUACCGUAAGAAUAAGCAUCGGCUAACUCCGUGCCAGCAGCCGCGGUAAUACGGAGGAUGCAAGCGUUAUCCGGAUUCAUUGGGUUUAAAGGGUGCGCAGGCGGAGCGAUAAGUCAGUGGUGAAAGCCUACAGCUCAACUGUAGAAUUGCCAUUGAUACUGUCGUUCUUGAGUAUAGUUGGAGUGAGCGGAAUGUAUCAUGUAGCGGUGAAAUGCUUAGAUAUGAUACAGAACACCAAUCGCGAAGGCAGCUCACUAAGCUAUAACUGACGCUCAUGCACGAAAGCGUGGGGAUCAAACAGGAUUAGAUACCCUAGUAGUCC
RNAcentral lists this ribosomal RNA (447 nucleotides) under uncultured bacterium. RNAcentral describes it as "bacterial SSU rRNA". It matches the Rfam family "Bacterial small subunit ribosomal RNA", at positions 354 to 796 of the family's 1533-position model. The record is from RNAcentral.